Molecule: ribosomal RNA, 253 nt
Filed under: uncultured bacterium
Lineage: Bacteria
Description: partial 16S ribosomal RNA
Rfam family: Bacterial small subunit ribosomal RNA
Source: RNAcentral
UACGAAGGGGGCUAGCGUUGCUCGGAAUUACUGGGCGUAAAGGGCGCGUAGGCGGAUAGUUUAGUCAGAGGUGAAAGCCCAGGGCUCAACCUUGGAAUUGCCUUUGAUACUGGCUAUCUUGAGUUCGGGAGAGGUGAGUGGAACUCCGAGUGUAGAGGUGAAAUUCGUAGAUAUUCGGAAGAACACCAGUGGCGAAGGCGACUCACUGGCCCGAUACUGACGCUGAGGCGCGAAAGCGUGGGGAGCAAACAGG